GGCCCAGUGGGCUAGAGCAUGGUGCUAAUAACACCAAACAUGUGGGUUCAAUCCCCAUAUGGGCCA
This is a non-coding RNA of Taeniopygia guttata (zebra finch), 66 nucleotides long. The record is from Rfam. Lineage: Eukaryota; Metazoa; Chordata; Aves; Passeriformes; Estrildidae.